RNAcentral lists this ribosomal RNA (39 nucleotides) under uncultured Dothideomycetes. RNAcentral's name for it is "partial 28S ribosomal RNA". RNAcentral also lists the same sequence under 1 other name. The record is from RNAcentral. Lineage: Eukaryota; Fungi; Ascomycota; Dothideomycetes.
GUUGACCUCGGAUCAGGCAGGGAUACCCGCUGAACUUAA